GUGGGGAAUAUUGGUCAAUGGACGAAAGUCUGAACCAGCCAAGUAGCGUGCAGGAUGACGGCCCUAUGGGUUGUAAACUGCUUUUAUACAGGGAUAAAGUCAGUUACGUGUAACUGUUUGUAGGUACUGUAUGAAUAAGGACCGGCUAAUUCCGUGCCAGCAGCCGCGGUAAUACGGAAGGUCCAGGCGUUAUCCGGAUUUAUUGGGUUUAAAGGGAGCGCAGGCUGAUGAUUAAGCGUGACGUGAAAUGUAGCCGCUCAACGGCUGAACUGCGUCGCGAACUGGUUAUCUUGAGUGAGUUCGAUGUUGGCGGAAUUCGUGGUGUAGCGGUGAAAUGCUUAGAUAUCACGAAGAACUCCGAUUGCGAAGGCAGCCAACAAGGCCUUUACUGACGCUAAAGCUCGAAGGUGCGGGUAUCGAACAGG
This 425-nucleotide ribosomal RNA is filed under the name uncultured rumen bacterium. RNAcentral's name for it is "bacterial SSU rRNA". It matches the Rfam family "Bacterial small subunit ribosomal RNA", at positions 354 to 776 of the family's 1533-position model. The record is from RNAcentral.